RNAcentral lists this ribozyme (95 nucleotides) under Lepisosteus oculatus (spotted gar). RNAcentral describes it as "drz-agam-1 ribozyme". It matches the Rfam family "drz-agam-1 ribozyme". The record is from Rfam by way of RNAcentral. Lineage: Eukaryota; Metazoa; Chordata; Actinopteri; Semionotiformes; Lepisosteidae.
GGCUGGCAAAAUCCUAUCACCACCUCCUCGCGGUGCCAGGUGGAUACGGCUGGAUACAACUGGAUACAACGACUCGUUGGAACUAACGGUGAAGG